Molecule: regulatory RNA element, 163 nt
Organism: Thalassolituus oleivorans MIL-1
Lineage: Bacteria; Pseudomonadati; Pseudomonadota; Gammaproteobacteria; Oceanospirillales; Oceanospirillaceae
Source: Rfam
UAUCGUCUCGUGCCUCUGGGCCUGCCGCAAUGAAUGAAUACGGUUAGGCCGCACGGGCAUGGAUGCCCGAGCAGCGCAGUUUGAGCCAUGGAUGGCGAAUCUGCGCGUGGCCGUAAACCGUAUGAGUAAAUAAGGAUCUCAGGCCAGAAAGCACAAAAAAAGG